AUGGAACUUCCCUCCAGCAGCCUAGAGGUGUCUAAAACACCGAGGAUACACAGCGUUGAGCACGUCAGCACGGUCCUCCUCGCCGGCAAGUGUGGAGCAAAGGGUGAAGGAGCAGACGGAACUCCGACAAGUCAAGGGAGCUACCUGUGCUCAUUGCUCUGGACCAUGGCGCCGCCUCAUCGACAAGAAGUUCUUGCCAUUUUCUCAACGGAGAGAAAGGCUGGCCUCAAUUCUGUCGACGACUCCAAAUGGGCGGAAGUAAAGCAUAUCAAUUGCUAUGCAACAUUUAUGGGGUACUUGUGGAUGGCAAUGAGAGGGGUGAGCGUCCUAGUGGUUACGUGGACCACCGUCGUCCUUCUUGGUGGUUUCGUGUCUAUGUUAAAUACCAAGGACUUUUGGUUUCUCACGGUGAUUACCCUCGUACAAACUGCCGGGUAA
This 438-nucleotide ribosomal RNA is filed under the name Triticum aestivum (bread wheat). Its description in RNAcentral is "partial small subunit ribosomal RNA". The record is from RNAcentral. Lineage: Eukaryota; Viridiplantae; Streptophyta; Magnoliopsida; Poales; Poaceae.